Molecule: ribosomal RNA, 475 nt
Filed under: uncultured cyanobacterium
Lineage: Bacteria; Bacillati; Cyanobacteriota
Description: bacterial SSU rRNA
Rfam family: Bacterial small subunit ribosomal RNA
Source: RNAcentral
AGAGUUUGAUUAUGGCUCAGGAUGAACGCUGGCGAUAUGCUUAACACAUGCAAGUCGAACGGAGUUCUUCGGAACUUAGUGGCGGACGGGUGAGUAACGCGUGAGAAUCUGGCAAAAGGUUCGGGACAACAGUUGGAAACGACUGCUAAUACCGGAUGUGCCUGUGGGUGAAAGAUUAAUCGCCUUUUGAUGAGCUCGCGUCUGAUUAGCUAGUAGGUGUGGUAAGAGCGCACCUAGGCGACGAUCAGUAGCUGGUCUGAGAGGAUGACCAGCCACACUGGGACUGAGACACGGCCCAGACUCCUACGGGAGGCAGCAGUGGGGAAUUUUCCGCAAUGGGCGAAAGCCUGACGGAGCAAUACCGCGUGAGGGAGGAAGGCUCUUGGGUUGUAAACCUCUUUUCUCAGGGAAUAAGAAAGUGAAGGUACCUGAGGAAUCAGCAUCGGCUAACUCCGUGCCAGCAGCCGCGGUAAUA